GACGAACGCUGGCGGCGUGCUUAACACAUGCAAGUCGAACGGAAAGGCCCUGCUUUUGCGGGGCGCUCGAGUGGCGAACGGGUGAGUAACACGUGAGUAACCUGCCCUUGACUUUGGGAUAACUUCAGGAAACUGGGGCUAAUACCGGAUAGGAGCUCCUGCUGCAUGGUGGGGGUUGGAAAGUUUCGGCGGUUGGGGAUGGACUCGCGGCUUAUCAGCUUGUUGGGGGGGUAGUGGCUUACCAAGGCUUUGACGGGUAGCCGGCCUGGGAGGGUGACCGGCCACCUUGGGACUGCGGUACGGCCCAGACUCCUACGGGAGGCAGCAGUGGGGAAUAUUGCACAAUGGGCGGAAGCCUGAUGCAGCAACGCCGCGUGCGGGAUGACGGCCUUCGGGUUGUAAACCGCUUUCGCCUGUGACGAAGCGUGAGUGACGGUAAUGGGUAAAGAAGCACCGGCUAACUACGUG
RNAcentral lists this ribosomal RNA (468 nucleotides) under uncultured bacterium. RNAcentral's name for it is "partial 16S ribosomal RNA". It matches the Rfam family "Bacterial small subunit ribosomal RNA", at positions 28 to 507 of the family's 1533-position model. The record is from RNAcentral.